Molecule: non-coding RNA, 3893 nt
Organism: Globicephala melas (long-finned pilot whale)
Lineage: Eukaryota; Metazoa; Chordata; Mammalia; Artiodactyla; Delphinidae
Source: RefSeq, a predicted model, not a curated record
AGCCGCUCCGCGUCACGUGGGAUCUUCCCGGACCGGGGCACGAACCCACGUCCCCUGCAUCGGCAGGCGGAUUCUCAACCACUGCGCCACCAGGGAAGCCCUGCCUCUGUUGUUUUAUCUGCAAAAAGUUUGUGUUUAUCAGUGGGUUUCAAAACAAGGAUGAGUUCACUUAAGCCAUGCUUUGUGUCAUUAGUGUGCUCAGCUAUCCCUUGUCAGGAUCUUUCUCUGAUGCCUGUCAGUUGAAAAGGGUGGAGCCAUGAAAUACUUCUAAGGACCUUUUGAGUCACAGACUCCUCCUUUUGGCUUAUGUGAGGAAAUGUCAGUGGUAGAGAGACUAAGGGCAUCAGGCAGCUGUCCUUGUCCGUUUGGAGCUCUGAGAAUGGCUCUCCGAGCAGGGCCAUCUCCCUUACACAUGAGUGUUGUCUAACACCCACCCACGUGCUUGGCAGUGUUUCUCAGAGGAAACACUGAGUAAAGGUCUUCAUCAGGGAAUGGAUAAAUCGGUGGAUUUUGUUAGGGAGCCACUGUUUGAGUUACCAUCUAGACAUCACUGUUACUGAUAUUUUUCAAUAACUCCAUUUUUGCAAAGCCUUAUUUCCAUUUGGGUCCAAUUAUCUGGGGAGAAGUCUCCUCACUCCCCACCCUCUUGUAAUUAAAAAGCAUGUUCUUUUUAGAUGAUUUCAAAAUGCUCUCCUCCACCAACUUCCAAAGCUUGCUGGCUCGGCCAACUUGAUGCAACUCAGCAUCGCUGGGAUAGAAGAACACAUGAAACUUUUAGAAUUGAGGUGAAAUGGAACGGGGAGCAGAUUAAGGCAGCCUAGAGGUGCUGAACCUUGGAGGACCAUUUUAACAUUGGCCAUUUCAUCCGUAAAUGUUCUUUGAACUAAUCGGAAGUGGGCCUGGCUCUAAGCUACUGCCAAGUCUCCCCGUCAUUGGUUUUCCUGUGUGUGUAAAGGAAGGUGUGAGGAAAAGAAAAGGACACCCCUGUCACACCUGGGAAGACGGAACACUCAUCCCAUACAGAGGACAAUGUCAGGACAUUACGGGAGCAUACUGAAGAUCUCCCAGUUUUGCAAAAUACAUGCUAGGGGGACUACAAGAUGGAACAGAGCUCUGAUUAUCCAUACUUAAUUAUUCAUGGCUGGUGUUAUCUAAUAUUAAUAAAGCAAACAAAUGCAAUGCAAAAUGGUCUUUCAGGAUCACAGUUCCCCAGUGCCAAAAAGGGAGAUACCCAUUCAUUGCAAAAGGAAAAUCCCAACCAAUGCUCGACCACAGGCAAAACCCAACACAAUAGGGAAGGACACCCUGGUGCCGUCACACGCAAGCCCUGUUACCGAAGACGUCUCAACUGACCAGUGCAUACUGAUACACACACAUACAAACAACAAACGAAUGGUCCCACUAACAAAGGCACAAGCUGGAGUGGCUCACCCCAAAACAAUACACACACAAAAAAACACAAACUACGGUCACACAGAAAUCAGUGGAGGUGUAGUCUAAAAUUCCAUUUCUACUCCCAGAUGGAGGUCUCCAAACAGACUGGCUUAGCUCUCAAAAGAGAACAGACCCAGAGUGUCUCACUUCCUACAAGGGAAGUAACCCAAAUGGAGUGGAGAGAAUUCCCAGCCUGUGCAAGAUGGAGCGACUUACCCCCAAGUGACACCAAAUGUGGACCACAGCUCUGGACGUUUCUCUGCUCCAAAUGACCUUGUGCACUGGGGCAGCUGACGCCUCUCAGGGAGAGUCCCUCACAGUUCCUGGAUGCAAAAUGAGCUCCAGCAGCUGCUGGGAACUUGGGAAGGGGCUGUCCCUGGCCGGGGUCCACCCGCCACAGGCACAGAUUCCUGGCUGGCUCACCAUAAUUGUUACUGAACGCAAGUCUGUGCCUAAUAACACAGUGAGACCGAACAAUACUGAAACAUUAGAGUUUGAAGCAGAGAGGUUAAUUUUUGGGCCAGGCAAGGAGACAGGUGGCUCAUGCCUUAAAAAGGCCAAACUCCGAAAAGCUUUCAGCAAAGCCCUUUUUAAAGGCAAGGUGAGGGGGUGUGUGAAUUGUUGCAAACUUCUUGGUGUCAGAUCCUUUGUUCUUGUAGCUGUCCCUGUAGGCCAGGUUUCUGUUAUUCUGUGUUCAGGUCAGGUCAAGGUCAGGCUAUCCUGUAUAUUUCAAGCCAUAGGCAACAUUCUUUUACAAAAGGUGCAGAGCCAGCAUGACUUAAGCAGAGGCAACAGGGCACAAAGGUUGGAGCUAAAGAAAUAGAUCCAAUAUGGAGUCAGAUUUAUUCUUCCCUAUUACAAGACCACACACACCCCAACUUCAGAUUCAAGUCCCCCAUGCAUGGCAUCACAAGGUCCUGUGGGGGAAACUUAGUCCCUUCCUUCAGUGAUCCGACGCUGGAGUUUUUCUGCAGUGUUUCUUCCAGCAUGGCCAUGCAGCCAAGGACUGAGCAUCUCCAGUGACAGAGAGCUCGGCCCGUUCUCACAAACUCAGGAAGUACUCCCCCCACACCCCUGGGUUUUUUAGCAUAAAUCUGUUUUCACAGCAACCAGCCUUUACCAUUGGUUUCCGCCCCCACCCUGGGAAAACCUUCCUCUCCACAACCUCCAGAGCAUUAGGACAGCAAGCGUGCCCCCCCACCCCUUCUAUCCAUGUGAAUCCUGUUCCUUUGUCCCAGCAUCUCAUGGUUUGUGUCCCCUUCUGGUCUGAACGCUUCUGCCCUGCAUGUGUCACGUUUGGGGCUAAUGUUGCCCCUGAGGUGUGGUGCCCACAGUCAGACACAGCACACUGGGUGUGGUGAUUUGUCCAUCAAUAAUUUGGCACUUCGAUGGCUUUUCUCACGAGACAGAUGAUUGCCUUUCGCAACAUGAGCCCUUGAAGGCUGACAUGGGUCACUUCUGGGGACAGUGUAAUGAUGGGUCUGAGUAAGGCCAGAGGGUCUUGCUCCUUUGCCAUGUGCAGUGGUUCCCAGACAGUGGCCACAGGACACAGGUCACCAACGGUCAGGGGACUUCCCAUGCAAAGGUUGCCAACUGUGAUUGUGCUUCCAUGCUGGAACCUGGGUGCCCUUGAUGCCCUUGAAGUGUUCUUCAUCCAUCUCUGGAGGGCCUGCUACACGUAUACAUUCCAUGACCAGUGCAAUGUGUUUAUAAGCGGGUGCAUAAUAAAUUACUGGAAACAGCUGAGGUUUUAAUCCUCCAUUAAUACAGAAAGUUUGACUCCUGUCAGCCAUGGUCUCUGCUUAAAAUAUUUAGGAGUUGGUUUCCACAGCGGUCUGCCAAAGCCUUCCAUGAUGGAUGGCAGAAGCCGAGUCGGGGGCACUUCACUCACUGUGGAGGUGCGGGGGCCAGGGGCGUGCUGCUGCUUCUCACACCAGGUCAAGGAGCCAGGACUGUUCUGUGAGAAGAGUAGGAAGCCACUUGAGGACACGUAGAAUUUCCGUCUCCAGUCUGAGGGUUAAGGACAGGGAUGUCCAGCAUCUUCUUUGUCAGGGGCUCCUCUGUUGAAGCCAUUUGCCUGUUAGUAUCCGGGUUUCCCUGCGGAUGUGUCCUUUACACUAGUUUUCUCACUUUCAGAGCUGCUAUCAUGACUGGUCACCCAGGUACGACACGGGUAUUUCUAUCUAUCCGCCCCACACCAAAGCCCUCCCUUAUCCUGGGCAGUAAGGGCCCCUGGGGUCCUUUAGAACCUGACACUGAUACCUACAGGGAAGGGCCUGAUCCUAAAAUACAUGAGAGGAUCCAGCACUGAACACCUGGGUGAUGCCCUCGUGAGAAAUUUAGGAAAUGCCACUUGAGGAAACGGGUCUAUCAAUGGUGCUACCCCUUCAUCCUUACAGACAUGAAGUUCCCUGCAAGCUUUCCUGCCUGCUGCAUAGUAAAGGAAGCGAAACAAUAAA